GAGACUCUGUGCGCGUGCAUAUCAAUAAGCGGAGGAAAAGAAACUAACAAGGAUUCCCUUAGUAACGGCGAGUGAAGCGGGAAGAGCUCAAAUUUGAAAUCUUCAAGGUUUUACCUUGACGAAUUGUAGUUUAAAGAAGUGUUUUCUGUUGGAAGUUUCGGUAAAAGUUCUUUGGAAUAGGACAUCAUAGAGGGUGAGAAUCCCGUAUUUGACCAUUACUUUUCCAGCUGUGUGAUACACUUUCAAAGAGUCGGAUUGUUUGGGAAUGCAGUCCAAAAUGGGUGGUAAAUUUCAUCUAAAGCUAAAUAUUGGCGAGAGACCGAUAGCGAACAAGUACCGCGAGGGAAAGAUGAAAAGAACUUUGAAAAGAGAGUUAAACAGUACGUGAAAUUGUCAAAAGGGAAGCGUUUGACACCAGUGUUGUUUAGUUGAAAAUCAAUUCAAUAGUUUUUCGAUUCUAAGUAGUAUUGACCUCCAUCAGCUUGCUGCUUUCUUCUCAGGAAAUUAUUGAAUGCACUUUUCAGUUAACAAGUCAACAUCAAUUUCUUUUGUUGUAAAAGGGUAAGAGGAAGGUGGCUUGCGCUUCGGCUCAAGUGUUUAUAGCCUUUUAUCCUCUGCAAUCGGAGAGAUUGAGGUCUGCAGCGUAGAUCCUUCGGGGUUAGAUACAUUGGUGCUAAGCUAUAGCCUUGUAUAGACAACUUGUUGACUAUGUUCAGUCAUUGUAGCUUACUCGCUGAUGCUAUUUUACCUACGCUUAGGAUGUUGACAGCAGUAUAGACUGU
This 782-nucleotide ribosomal RNA is filed under the name uncultured Neocallimastigales. RNAcentral's name for it is "partial large subunit ribosomal RNA". It matches the Rfam family "Eukaryotic large subunit ribosomal RNA", at positions 23 to 637 of the family's 3401-position model. The record is from RNAcentral. Lineage: Eukaryota; Fungi; Neocallimastigomycota; Neocallimastigomycetes; Neocallimastigales.